GAUAAUUCAAUUGAUCUCCAAUUUUCUUCUCACCCUCCACCCUCGACAGGCGACAGGAGAUUAGGGUUUUGUUCUUUGACCGAUAUCUCCCUUUCUACAUCCGAUUAAGAAAAGGUCUUCACUAAACCAGGUAUGUUUUCAUUUAGGAUGAUGCGGCAAAGUGUCGAAAUUUAGAUAGACAACUACGAUUUCUAAUUGACGCGCCGUCCAUACUAUGAUGUGACGAUAGAUUGGAGGGAGCAAGUAGGAGGAUUUAGGGUCAUACUUAAUAUUUCUCAACUAAUUUCAGGUGAGAUAUCAAAAAUAAAAUAUUCAUGAGAUGUGAUACUGAUCUUGAGAAAAGACAAAAAAAACUGAUAAUGGUUAUAAAUCGUGGAAUGAAAAAUUAACGGCAGAAUGAAUGAUACAAGAAUCGUUUCAUAAUAUUUUCCUUUGUAUCUGAAUAACUCUAAACCCUAAAUCAUAUGGAUUGCAGUGAAUUUUGUUCACAAAUAGUAUUAACUAUUUUUUGAACAAACCAUCAUAAAAGUAUAAAACCAGAGUUAAAAAUAGAUAAGCAUCAGAAACAUUCACAAAUAAAAAACAGUAAUAAUCCACUAAUUAACAUUUAUUUUUGAAUUCAAGAAGAAACAACCUCGACUUCCACCUCUUUUACCUCUCCUCCAUCAGCUUCAUCGCUUUCGUUAUCAUCUUCGGCCUGUCCGGCGGCGAGGAGAAUCCAAUCAGGUGGGAGAACAGGAAGAACAGGGUAGACUGUAGGACCUCGGCGGAUGUCCCAUGGUUGGGACUUCUUUGGCCUGGUUUUCCUGUGAUGUGCAGUGCUUUUCUUCUGUGGUCUAGAAGAGCAUUCCACUACCAAUCCAGUUUUCCCAAAACCCAUCAUAACCCUUUCGACUCCUACUCCACCUCCGCUCACCGCCAAAUUAGGAAGCCGGAGAUCCGCCGUCGAAGGAAGAAAUCCGGUUACCAACAUCGUUGGAAUCGACAUUUUCUUCUUCUGUGUUUACUGGCGUGUGUGUGUGUGCUCCCUCUUAUCUUGCUUGGGCUUGUGGGAUGAGGUGUUCCCGUGCAACGCGGCAUUUCCUAUCAAUAUCCGGUUCUUACUAUAAAGAAUUUUUUUAUACACAAAAAUCUAAAAUUAGAGUAAUAAUAUAAAACUAUAAAAGUAUAAAACUAGUUGUUUUAGAUAAUUACUUAUACACCCAAAGAGAGAAUAAAAGAAUUCAAAUAGAGUGCAAACUUAUAGUGAACACCAUUAACAUUGGAUGGGCUCCAGAAUCACCCCAUCUCAAUGUAAAGUAGAUAGAGGAUUCUGGAGCUUGUUAUUAUUAAUAGUGUUCAUUAGAAGCAGAUCUCAAAUAAAUUAUUCAAUUUCAUGAAUCCAUCCCACUAGACUAUGUUUAACAGGCACUUUCCUUGUUUUUGAAGCUCAAAUAACACAUUCAAACAAGCUGAAUCUUGUGAAAUCUUCUUAUCAGCACAGGGUUCUCCCACAAGAGUGAUGAUGGUAGAGCCUGGUAUACACAAGGUUAUAGUUGACACAAAGGAGUUGUAACCGGUGCGUGUUUCGGAAUAAGG
RNAcentral lists this long non-coding RNA (1578 nucleotides) under Zostera marina. RNAcentral's name for it is "long non-coding RNA (ZMAR_LNC005997)". The record is from RNAcentral. Lineage: Eukaryota; Viridiplantae; Streptophyta; Magnoliopsida; Alismatales; Zosteraceae.